RNAcentral lists this ribosomal RNA (472 nucleotides) under uncultured bacterium. RNAcentral's name for it is "bacterial SSU rRNA". It matches the Rfam family "Bacterial small subunit ribosomal RNA", at positions 28 to 497 of the family's 1533-position model. The record is from RNAcentral.
GAUGAACGCUGGCGGCGUGCUUAACACAUGCAAGUCGAACGAAGCACUCUAUUUGAUUUUCUUCGGAAAUGAAGAUUUUGUGACUGAGUGGCGGACGGGUGAGUAACGCGUGGGUAACCUGCCUCAUACAGGGGGAUAACAGUUGGAAACGACUGCUAAUACCGCAUAAGCACACAGGAUCGCAUGAUCCGGUGUGAAAAACUCCGGUGGUAUGAGAUGGACCCGCGUCUGAUUAGCCAGUUGGCAGGGUAACGGCCUACCAAAGCGACGAUCAGUAGCCGACCUGAGAGGGUGACCGGCCACAUUGGGACUGAGACACGGCCCAAACUCCUACGGGAGGCAGCAGUGGGGAAUAUUGCACAAUGGGGGAAACCCUGAUGCAGCGACGCCGCGUGAGCGAAGAAGUAUUUCGGUAUGUAAAGCUCUAUCAGCAGGGAAGAAGAAUGACGGUACCUGACUAAGAAGCACCGGC